This 468-nucleotide ribosomal RNA is filed under the name uncultured bacterium. RNAcentral describes it as "partial 16S ribosomal RNA". It matches the Rfam family "Bacterial small subunit ribosomal RNA", at positions 28 to 507 of the family's 1533-position model. The record is from RNAcentral.
GACGAACGCUGGCGGCGUGCUUAACACAUGCAAGUCGAACGGAAAGGCCCUGCUUUUGUUGGUUGCUCGAGUGGCGAACGGGUGAGUAACACGUGAGUAACCUGCCCUUUACUUUGGGAUAACUUCAGGAAACUGUGGCUAAUACCGGAUAUGAGCUCCUGCUGCAUGGUGGGGGUUGGAAAGUUUCGGCGGUUGGGGAUGGACUCGCGGCUUAUCAGCUUGUUGGUGGGGUAGUGGCUUACCAAGGCUUUGACGGGUAGCCGGCCUGAGAGGGUGACCGGCCACAUUGGGACUGAGAUACGGCCCAGACUCCUACGGGAGGAAGCAGUGGGGAAUAUUGCAAAAUGGGCGGAAGCCUGAUGAAGAAACGCCGCGUGCGGGAUAACGGCCUUCGGGUUGUAACCCGCUUUCGCAUGUGACGAAGCGGGAGUGACGGUACUGGGUAAAGAAGCACCGGCUAACUACGUG